UAUGUGAUCGUCUCUCGCAUAUCAAUAAGCGGAGGAAAAGAAACUAACAAGGAUUCCCCUAGUAACGGCGAGUGAAGCGGGAAGAGCUCAAAUUUGAAAUCUUAAAGGGUUUCCCUUUACGAAUUGUAGUUUAAAGAAGUGUUUUCUGUUGAGGUUUUGGUAAAAGUUCUUUGGAAUAGGACAUCAUAGAGGGUGAGAAUCCCGUAUUUGACCUUUACUUUCAACUUUGUGAUACACUUUCAAAGAGUCGGAUUGUUUGGGAAUGCAGUCCAAAAUGGGUGGUAAAUUUCAUCUAAAGCUAAAUAUUGGCGAGAGACCGAUAGCGAACAAGUACCGUGAGGGAAAGAUGAAAAGAACUUUGAAAAGAGAGUUAAACAGUACGUGAAAUUGUCAAAAGGGAAGCGUUUGACACCAGUGUUGUUUUUCUGAAAAUCAAUUAAAGAACUGUUUAUGCUAAGUUGUUUAGACUUUAUCAGCUAAUCUGCUUAGUUUUGAGCUUUUCUUUAAUGCACUUUUCAGUUAACAAGUCAACAUCAAUUUCUUUUGCUGUAAAAAAGCUUGAGGAAGGUGGCUUGAGAUUCGUCUUAAGUGUUUAUAGCCUCUUGCCUAUGCAGUCGGAGAGAUUGAGGUCUGCAGCGUAGAUCCUUCGGGGCUAAAUGCAUUUGUGCUAAGUUAUAGCAUUUUAUAGACAACUUGUUGACUAUGAUUUGUCUUGUAGCUUGCUCGCUUAUGUUAUUUUACCUACGCUUAGGAUGUUGACGAGACUGUCGAUCUC
Molecule: ribosomal RNA, 775 nt
Filed under: uncultured Neocallimastigales
Lineage: Eukaryota; Fungi; Neocallimastigomycota; Neocallimastigomycetes; Neocallimastigales
Description: partial large subunit ribosomal RNA
Rfam family: Eukaryotic large subunit ribosomal RNA
Source: RNAcentral